Gasterosteus aculeatus aculeatus (three-spined stickleback) is the source of this 1078-nucleotide long non-coding RNA. The record is from Ensembl. Lineage: Eukaryota; Metazoa; Chordata; Actinopteri; Perciformes; Gasterosteidae.
UCCUAAUAUACUUUAAUCACUUAAAUUAAGCUUCAUUAACUGGCCAGAGGGGGCUGAGUCGGCCUAACACGGGCCAGACCUCACUCCAUUUACAAUCUGCAGAGCCACCAGGGUUGGGGGAGGCACAGGAAAUAUUGUUUCCCCUACAAAUAAUUGUAAGUUUUUUGACCCAGAUGUAUAUGAGUUACAUAACACAGAAAAGAGAGACAGGGUGCUUGCACACAUGCACGGUACGUGUGUUUAGCAGACAUGGUUAUAUGCAUUAGAUCAACGUGGUCCCGUUGUCUUAUACGUUGGAAAAAAAAGGACAUGUAACAUGUAAUGAAAUCAGGAAAAGUGAAUAACUGAAUAAGGGAACUUUUGAGCGACGCAACAGCGAUAUUAUCCCGCUUUUCCUUCUGUCUUUCCGGGUGCGUGGGGGUCUGUGUGUGUGUUAACCUCGCUUUUGUAGUCUGAAGUCCCCAGCGCGAGUCCUAAGCCGCAGCAGACCUGUGGUCCAGAGAAAGGCCUCUUUGUGUCACUACGGGACCGAUUGGCCACUUCUGCACUCUUGGCUCCCCCUCAAGUCCUGGCCGACAUCCAGAUCCCAGAACCAGGGCAGACUUUGCAUCUCUGUAGUGCAUCCCAGACAAAGAGUCUCUACAGUGGCUGACUCCUCCGGUUGGCAAGAAGUCCCACGAGUGAACGGAAGUAUUGUAGCCGAGGAGGAGCGGCGCCGCAUGGGGCUCUGGCAGUGGUGGCGACCGUUUAAUCACAACGUAACCUGCUUCGUCAACUAUUUUACUCUGUUCACUGAGUCAGAGAAUGGAAAUUUUGAGGUCGACUGGUGUUGCCUGUUCCGGACAGUUCCGAGCACAAAGUUCUAGAGCGAGGGAUGGGCGGCGGGUCCGGGAGAGAAGUCGCAGGGGAAAUUUAGAUAUUUAUCAGGCAAUGAGGGAGCUUCAAAACGGCUCCCAUGUGUUCUUUAUUUCAGCUGGGGUUUGAUGGCAAAUGGAGCGAGGCAAGAGCUGGCGAGACCCUUUCCCCAACACACAAGCACUGUGCGCGCGCACACACACACACACACACACACACACAC